Molecule: small nuclear RNA, 20 nt
Filed under: Arabidopsis thaliana (thale cress)
Lineage: Eukaryota; Viridiplantae; Streptophyta; Magnoliopsida; Brassicales; Brassicaceae
Description: snRNA_10363
Source: RNAcentral
CCCAGCUUGAAAAUCGGACG